UGUAGGAGCUGCCGAAGGCUGCGAUCUUUUGACUUUGGCUUUUCCGAGAUCAAAAGAUCGCAGCCUUCGGCAGCUCCUACA
This 81-nucleotide non-coding RNA is filed under the name Pseudomonas jessenii. The record is from RNAcentral. Lineage: Bacteria; Pseudomonadati; Pseudomonadota; Gammaproteobacteria; Pseudomonadales; Pseudomonadaceae.